RNAcentral lists this long non-coding RNA (391 nucleotides) under Gopherus evgoodei (Goodes thornscrub tortoise). RNAcentral describes it as "lncRNA (ENSGEVG00005003654.1)". The record is from RNAcentral. Lineage: Eukaryota; Metazoa; Chordata; Testudines; Testudinidae.
GGAUUUCCAUACAAAUUCAUCAAGAAGUUUACAUUUGGAUUUCCAGAACAAUGGAAACAAUAUGUUGAGAAUUUUCUUGAGGAACUAAAGAGGUAACUUUUGGAAGGAACAAGAUACUGAUGAGGCUGGCAAUGAAAAAAUCAGUUCUGUGGAAGUGGAUAUGUUGGAAGAAGAGGGGGUAACAGGAGACUUAAAAAAACAAUCUCGAACACAAAAUGCCACUUAUGAAGUAGCAUUGAAUGAUAAUGGAUGUGUAGAUAUGACACCUAAACACAAUUCUGUGGAGAAAGACCCAGAUGCAAGUUACAGCCGUAGUGGUCGGCGCAUAUAAACCACCAUUGCAUUACUGGUGUGGACAACGAGAGUUCGUUGAUCAUAACUAAAUGUUACU